CCUCGAUCUGUUUCUGCUUAUUAAUCUUGUUCUAUUCAAUAUGCUCACUAUCAGUAAUUACUUUAUCUCUGUGUGGAAGACAGAUCAAGAGAUGUACAUUGGGAUACCAAUACCAGUAAUACAGAAGAAUCAAAGUUCUAUGGAACAAACGCUUAGAAAGAUUGGAUGAUUUGAAUGCAAGUUUUCCUGCUCGUUUGUUGGAAGAUAGUAUUCAAAUGACAGAGUCAUACAGAACCUUUUAAUGUGUGCAUGUUCUACAAGCUGCUUGUGUGUACAUUCUUUUAUUUGUUAUUUGUUAUUGUAGCACAGCUGCCCAUUGUAUUAGUUCCAAUUAGAUUGUGUCAGCAUUUAUUUUAUUUGUUUACUUAAGCAUGCAUUUAUGGCAUAGUUAAGGGAUGGCUACUCUAUAUGUGUUAUACAUAGUAAUUUUGGCAUAGUUUUUAAUAUGUUUAAAAUUUA
Long non-coding RNA from Amphimedon queenslandica, 459 nucleotides. RefSeq lists it as uncharacterized. The record is from RefSeq and is a predicted model, not a curated record. NCBI's taxonomy places the organism in Eukaryota, Metazoa, Porifera, Demospongiae, Haplosclerida, Niphatidae. The transcript has 2 exons.